GUCUCUGUGGCGCAAUUGGUUAGCGCGUUCGGCUGUUGACCGAAAGGUUGCUGGUUCAAGCCCAGCCAGGGACG
Molecule: non-coding RNA, 74 nt
Organism: Ciona savignyi (Pacific transparent sea squirt)
Lineage: Eukaryota; Metazoa; Chordata; Ascidiacea; Phlebobranchia; Cionidae
Source: Rfam